UGGGGAAUAUUGCACAAUGGAGGGAACUCUGAUGCAGCGACGCCGCGUGAACGAAGAAGGCUUUCGAGUCGUAAAGUUCUUUUAUAUGGGAAGAUAAUGACGGUACCAUAAGAAAAAGCCCCGGCUAACUACGUGCCAGCAGCCGCGGUAAUACGUAGGGGGCUAGCGUUGUCCGGAAUCACUGGGCGUAAAGGGUUCGCAGGCGGAAAUGCAAGUCAGGUGUAAAAGGCAGUAGCUUAACUACUGUAAGCAUUUGAAACUGCAUAUCUUGAGAAGAGUAGAGGUAAGUGGAAUUUUUAGUGUAGCGGUGAAAUGCGUAGAUAUUAAAAAGAAUACCGGUGGUGAAGGCGACUUACUGGGCUCAUUCUGACGCUGAGGAACGAAAGCGUGGGUAGCAAACAGG
Molecule: ribosomal RNA, 403 nt
Filed under: bacterium
Lineage: Bacteria
Also listed under: 1 other name
Description: partial 16S ribosomal RNA
Rfam family: Bacterial small subunit ribosomal RNA
Source: RNAcentral